RNAcentral lists this long non-coding RNA (3700 nucleotides) under Populus tremula. RNAcentral describes it as "long non-coding RNA (PTRE_LNC002262)". The record is from RNAcentral. Lineage: Eukaryota; Viridiplantae; Streptophyta; Magnoliopsida; Malpighiales; Salicaceae.
AUCAUGAUGGAUUCUUUCAACUUAUCAUCUCCCUCUCUAUUCUCCAGGGUGGCGGAUCUUCAUCAAAGUAACGCCUGGAAUCAGCCCCCCAUCUUGAUUCUCUCCCUUUUCAUCAUUAAUUUCUUGCUGGUUUUUUGUUUGGUAAGAUCUUUGAUGGCCCUCUUGCUUAUUUAUUUAUUUAUUUAUUUUGCGUUUUUUAAUUAUGGGUAUGAUUUAUUGAAUCUCAUUGCUUUCAACAUCUUAUUUGUGUUAACUAACGCUGUAGUGUGAACUUUUGACCUGGUUUGUUAAUACCUAGAUGCCAGAUUUUAUGUUUCUGAUGGGUUUUGUUUGUUGAUUUCUUUAUUGCCGGAUGGGUCGAUGUUUUGUCGGGCUGGAAUUUUUUUACUAACAUGUUAAAAGAUUUUAUCUUUUUGUUGAAAUCAAUGUUACUGGCUGGCCCUGAUGUUGAAUUUUGAGUGUUUUUUUUUGGGGGGGUGGUUUUGUUGAUGUGUUUUGGAUUUCUGUUUCUAUGAUUUCAAAUUUCACUGCAUGCUUUGUGAGUUAGUGAGUUUGAAUUUUUUAUUUUUUAAUUUCUCAUAUGUUGGCUUGUGCCAAUUGGUUGUUUUACCAUGUUGAGUAGCUUUUAUGCUUGUGUACUAGAUCAAACUUUGGGGUUAUUGAGGAAGGAACGGUGCACAGGAUCCAAAUGUAGUGGAAGAGCUCAUUAGCUUGUGUCUUAUAAACUGAGCCGCGUCGAUUUUUCUGAUAAGUUACGAGGGAAGCCCUAGUUCAGGAUUUGAAACUCUAGGGUUUUGUUUUCGGGUAAUGGAACAUCUUCCAGUUGAAGUUGUUGGGAACAUUUUGUCACGGCUAGGAGGCGCUCGAGAUGUGGUGAUAGCUUCUGCAACAUGUCGGAAGUGGCGAGAAGCUUGUCGUAAACACCUUCACACCCUUUCAUUCAAUUCCAAUGAUUCGCAUGUUUAUCAUGAUCUCUUGACUAGUCGGCUAGAGAUACUGAUAACUCAAACAAUAUUCCAAACCACUGGAUUACAAGGCUUGUCAAUUUUGAUGGAUGAUGUUGAUGAUUUUUCUGCUUCAACAGUUAUUGCUUGGCUCAUGUACACCAGGGAAACCUUGCAUCGAUUGAUUUAUAAUGUUCGGACUACUCCGAAUGUUAAUAUUCUUGAGAUUUGUGGCAGGCAGAAGCUGGAAACUUUGGAACUGUCCCAUAACUCGAUAACAGGGGUUGAACCCAAUUUUCAGAGAUUCCCCUGUUUAAAAUCCCUUUCUUUGAGUUAUGUCAGUAUCUCAGCAUUGGAUCUCAAUCUUUUACUCACUGCUUGCCCAAAGAUUGAGACCUUGGGGCUUGUUAAUCCAGAGAUUGCAAUAUCUGAUGCACAGGUGACUGUUGAACUGAGCAGCCCUACAUUAAAGAGUGUUUAUGUCGAAGCAAUUAGUUUGGACAAGUUUAUAUUGGAAGCGGAUAGCAUUGAAAGCUUGCACUUGAAGGAUUGUGCUCUUGAGCUAUUUGAACUCAUUGGAAAGGGUACUUUGAAGCAUUUCAAAAUUGAUGACGUGAGUGUUAUUCAACUUUAUAUUGGCGAGACUGUUGAUAAUCUUGAGAGCAUAGAUGUCAGCAACUUCACUAUUAUUUGGCCAAAGUUCUACCAAAUGAUCUCAAAAUCAUCCAAGUUAAGGAAACUUCGUCUUUGGGACGUGGUCUUUGAUGAUGAGGAUGAGAUUGUGGAUUUAGAAAAUAUUGCUGUUUGUUUCCCGCAUCUCAGCCACCUUGCAUUAAGUUAUGACCUGAGAGAUGGAGUGGUUAACUAUGGUCUACAAGGUUCUUCCCACUUGGAAAAUGUUAUUACCUUGGAGCUCGGGUGGACUGUAAUUAAUGAUCUCUUUUCUCUUUGGGUGGAGGGACUGCUAAAACUGUGUCCAAAUCUCAAGAAGUUGGUGAUUCAUGGUGUUGUUUCAGAGGCCAAAAGUCACGAAGAAUGCCAAAUGUUGGCCAAUUUUACCUCAUCCAUAGUUCAGCUCAUGAGAACAUACAUUCAUGUAGAUGUGCAGUUCGAUUAUGAAUAGAAAUCUCGUGAUUACUUUUCGUCCAUGUUCACGUUUGACUUCUAAACGAGUUACUUACAACAUACGCCAGGUAAGAUUCGCAGCAUUUAUAACCUGAGCACGAGCAUCCCUUUCCAUGUCCUGUAAAUGAUAUCUGAAAUCUUCCUUAUAAUUGCAACUUGCUUUUGCAACAGAAACAUGUUUUCUUUUCACUUUGUUUUCAUUUUACUCAAUUGCUGUAGACAAGCUUUUCUUUUCGUCUGAUUGAAAAGUUUGCUCUGCCUUUCUUGCUCACCCCCCCCCUCCCCUCUCCCACAUACACAGAUAAACAGUGCAGCUUGGUUUUAUUUGACCGAUGGUUUUCCGCGUCCCUUUGUGAGUUGUUUUUUUUUAACUGUAUUCCCUGUCCUUGAUGGAGUACUGGUGCCGACGUUUCUAUAUCGGGAAAAUAUGGAAAUGAUAGUAAAAUCAUUGGUGUAACAAGGAUAGCAGUUUUUUUGUCAAUAAAAUUUGCAAGGAGCGAGUGAUGUCUGACUCUGACAUAACUACAAAUUCUAAACUGAACGAUUUAUCUUUUUAUGAAUCUCUAUAAUUCUAAGAGACUCCCUUGCCAGGGAAAAAAUGAUGUGGUUUUAAAUUAUGGCUAUCAGAGUUUUUGGGAUCAAUAGGCAAAUUUUUAUCUGCAUAAUUUAACUGCACCUCCCUGCUGCUCGUGUGACGGCAGCUUAACUGUUUUUAAGGAUGUUGAUCCGUGUGAUCUGGCUGAGGUCUAGAUGCCAAUAUACACGAGUGCCUACAGACAUACCUACAUAGUACAUACCAUGUAUAUAGGAAACGUUCCAAGGUAGAUAUCAAGUAAUCCCACAACGUUUGGUCUUAUUGGUGAAAUACCUGGAAUUUCUUUCAGUGAUGAAAUAAGAAUGGCCCGCUGAGGAUCGAUCUUACAGCAGAAACAUGCAGCUCGUCAUCCUUUAUAUGGGAGAGAAAUUACCCGAGGAUGGAGUGUCCAUGGCCCAUUGAAGCGACGACCAGACCAUUCAACCCCUUGAUCUGAUGAAUUGCAAACAUCACGAGUGUUCCUGUAACACAUGAAUGGCCGGAGAAAUCUGUGGCCAUAACAGAGCUAUGCUGGUUUUGGAUGAAAAGCACUUGUCACGCACACCUACAAUUUAUUAAAUUCCUUGGAAAAUAUUCAAUUGUUGCAGGCUAGCAUGAUGUAAGGCUCAUUUUUUAUGUCAAUCGGAUUAAAAGGGAGCAGCUUUUGUAGGAUAUGGCCGCGAUCCUUGAAAGAUUACUGAAACAAGACGUCCGAUAAUUUCAGCUUAAGAGAAGAUUCCCAAGUACCAGAUUAUAUUACAUGGUGCUGUUGCUUUUUUGUAAAUCCUUGAAGGAGAACUCGUACAAAUGUUCAAUCUCGAGUGAAAUUAUCUUUGUUUAGUUUUGCUCUAUUGGUGGGGUUGAGGCUGAAACUGUGCCCCCAGCUCUUUUCAUGGGAAUAACGUCAGCUGACCAGGAGGAAAUAAAGCCCAGUGUAACAUUGGAAGAUAAAAAAGACGAAGAUUCUAUCUAUUUUGCUUUGAAAGGACAAGAAAUUAUUAUUUGGUUAAAUUAUUUUAUAUAUUUAUGUUUUUUUUUAUUUGUUUUAUGGUACACU